RNAcentral lists this non-coding RNA (24 nucleotides) under Arabidopsis thaliana (thale cress). Lineage: Eukaryota; Viridiplantae; Streptophyta; Magnoliopsida; Brassicales; Brassicaceae. The record is from RNAcentral.
UGCAUGAAACUUUUUUUGUCAGAU